CGGGAGGCAGCAGUGGGGAAUAUUGCACAAUGGGCGCAAGCCUGAUGCAGCCAUGCCGCGUGUAUGAAGAAGGCCUUCGGGUUGUAAAGUACUUUCAGUCGUGAGGAAGGUGUUAAGGUUAAUAACCUUAGCAAUUGACGUUAGCGACAGAAGAAGCACCGGCUAACUCCGUGCCAGCAGCCGCGGUAAUACGGAGGGUGCGAGCGUUAAUCGGAAUUACUGGGCGUAAAGGGCACGCAGGCGGUUAAUUAAGUUGGAUGUGAAAUCCCCGGGCUUAACCUGGGAAUGGCAUUCAAGACUGGUUAGCUAGAGUCUUGUAGAGGGGGGUAGAAUUCCAUGUGUAGCGGUGAAAUGCGUAGAGAUGUGGAGGAAUACCGGUGGCGAAGGCGGCCCCCUGGACAAAGACUGACGCUCAUGUGCGAAAGCGUGGGGAGCAAACAGGAUUAGAUACCCUGGUAGUCCACGCUGUAAACGAUGUCGAUUUGGAGGUUGUGGUCAUGAACUGUGGCCUCCGGAGCUAACGCGUUAAAUCGACCGCCUGGGGAGUACGGCCGCAAGGUUAAAACUCAAAUGAAUUGACGGGGGCCCGCACAAGCGGUGGAGCAUGUGGUUUAAUUCGAUGCAACGCGAAGAACCUUACCUACUCUUGACAUCCAGAGAAGCUUUUAGAGAUAGAGGCGUGCCUUCGGGAACUUUGAGACAGGUGCUGCAUGGCUGUCGUCAGCUCGUGUUGUGAAAUGUUGGGUUAAGUCCCGCAACGAGCGCAACCCUUAUCCUUUGUUGCCAGCGAUCCGGUCGGGAACUCAAAGGAGACUGCCGGUGAUAAACCGGAGGAAGGUGGGGAUGACGUCAAGUCAUCAUGGCCCUUACGAGUAGGGCUACACACGUGCUACAAUGGCGUAUACAGAGAGAGGCGAGCCUGCGAGGGGAAGCGGAACUCAGAAAGUACGUCGAAGUCCGGAUUGGAGUCUGCAACUCGACUCCAUGAAGUCGGAAUCGCUAG
Molecule: ribosomal RNA, 1003 nt
Filed under: uncultured Arsenophonus sp.
Lineage: Bacteria; Pseudomonadati; Pseudomonadota; Gammaproteobacteria; Enterobacterales; Morganellaceae
Description: bacterial SSU rRNA
Rfam family: Bacterial small subunit ribosomal RNA
Source: RNAcentral